RNAcentral lists this ribosomal RNA (1026 nucleotides) under Triticum aestivum (bread wheat). RNAcentral's name for it is "partial small subunit ribosomal RNA". The record is from RNAcentral. Lineage: Eukaryota; Viridiplantae; Streptophyta; Magnoliopsida; Poales; Poaceae.
AUGGCGUCCUCCGGAGUCGGCGGGAAGCCGUCGAGGUCCGCCAUCGUGGCCGACACGGCCAGCGGGCACCACUUUCUCACCAUCCACGGCUACUCCUGCACCAAGAACCUUCCCACCGGAGAGAAGAUCAGUUCUCGGCCCUUCACAGUCGGCGGCCACCGCUGGCGCAUCGACUACUACCCCAACGGCUCAAGCUCGGCGGUCGCGGACUACGUAUCCCUCUCCCUAAUCCUCGACGAAGAUGUCGCGGCAGCGGUGAAGGCGAAGCACUGCUUCUGCCUCUCUGGGGAGGCGGAGAAAAUUCAGGCGGCGCGGCUGACGUCGUCGUCGGUGGUCACAUUCUCGUCCAGGAGGUCUUGCUUCUACAACUGGUACUCCACCUUCAUCAGAAGAGAGGACCUGCAGAAGUCCAAGAAUCUACAGAACGACUCGUUCACCGUCCGGUGUGAUAUCCUUGUCGUCCAUGGUUACCGCGCCCAGGAUGCGGCGGCGGCGGCUUUCGUCUCCGUGCCCCCGUGCGACCUGCGGGGGGACCUUGGCAAGCUCCUCGAGGCCGAGAAAGGUGCCGACGUGGUGUUUGAGGUUGGGGUCUUCGCAGCCGAGCUCUUCGGACCAAUGAAGGAGGGCAAGGUCGAAAGCGGCAUUGUGCGCGUGGAAGACAUGGAGGCGGAGGUGUUCAAGGCGCUGCUCCGUUUCGUGUACACCGGCUUGUUGCCUGAGAUGCGCAAGGAAGAGGAAGAUGUCACCUGCCAGCAUCUGCUCGUCGCGGCAGACAGGUAUGGAAUGGACCGGCUGAAGCUGAUCUGUGAGGAGAAGCUGUGUGAGUACAUUGACGUCAGCACUGCAGCGACUAUCCUGCUACUAGCCGAGCAACAUCACUGUGAGGGGUUGAAGAAGGCGUGCUUCGAUUUUCUUGCGGCUCCGACAAAUCUGAGGGCAACCGUAGCCACCGAUGGCUUACAACAUCUUAGCGUGAGCUGCCCAUCUCUUAUGGUCAAGCUGAUGGCCAUGUCCUUGGGGCAUUAG